AGAAAAUAUCUCACUAUUUGCAUACUUCAUCUUCAGAAACCACAAAUACUUCACAGUUGUUUUAAAGAGAUAUAUUUGCAAGAAUAGGAGUAGUUAGUCAGAGACCAAAAUUCAAAUACACAAUGGAUUUUUGGGUGCAGGUCUUCAACUUCCUGCUAAUCAGUAUCACAGUUAUCAUGUCCAGUGGAGAAAUUGUACUCACCCAGUCUCCAGCAAUCAUGGCUGCAUCUCUGGGGGAGAAGGUCACCAUCACCUGCAGUGCCAGCUCAAGUGUAAGUUACAUGUACUGGUACCAGCAGAAGUCAGGAUCCUCCCCUAAACCCUGGAUUUAUAGGACAUCCAACCUCAUUUCUGGAGUCCCAGAUCGCUUCAGUGGCAGUGGGUCUGGGACCUCUUACUCUCUCACAAUUAGCACCAUGGAGGCUGAAGAUGCUGCCACUUAUUACUGCCAGCAGUGGACUAGUUCCCCACCCACACAGUGA
Non-coding RNA from Apodemus sylvaticus (European woodmouse), 482 nucleotides. NCBI's taxonomy places the organism in Eukaryota, Metazoa, Chordata, Mammalia, Rodentia, Muridae. The record is from the annotation of a RefSeq genome assembly.